UUUUGCAGAUUAAUUGCACGAGGAUCAUGGAUCAAACUGCUGAAAAGUAUAUUCAAAUAUCGUGCAUGUGAACAGCUGCGUUUUGGUGUAAAGUUUUGAUAAGAAUUCGCCAUUUUAACCGAGUUUCAUUGUUUAUUGAACGCAUGACAAUAAUCUUUUCAACUCUAACUUUUUGAUGGGGAGUAUAAUAACAUAGUAACUGUUACCUUAACUCCCGAUGUAGACUCAUACUGAUAGGUAUGCUGAUUUUUGUACCAUGCCAUUCAAUGAAUAUAUGAAAUGUAUAUAUUA
Molecule: long non-coding RNA, 291 nt
Organism: Haliotis rubra (blacklip abalone)
Lineage: Eukaryota; Metazoa; Mollusca; Gastropoda; Lepetellida; Haliotidae
Exons: 2
Source: RefSeq, a predicted model, not a curated record